This 890-nucleotide ribosomal RNA is filed under the name Bacillus sp. JC135. RNAcentral describes it as "bacterial SSU rRNA". It matches the Rfam family "Bacterial small subunit ribosomal RNA", at positions 63 to 932 of the family's 1533-position model. The record is from RNAcentral. Lineage: Bacteria; Bacillati; Bacillota; Bacilli; Caryophanales; Bacillaceae.
CGAGCGGACAGAUGGGAGCUUGCUCCCUGAUGUUAGCGGCGGACGGGUGAGUAACACGUGGGUAACCUGCCUGUAAGACUGGGAUAACUCCGGGAAACCGGGGCUAAUACCGGAUGGUUGUUUGAACCGCAUGGUUCAAACAUAAAAGGUGGCUUCGGCUACCACUUACAGAUGGACCCGCGGCGCAUUAGCUAGUUGGUGAGGUAACGGCUCACCAAGGCGACGAUGCGUAGCCGACCUGAGAGGGUGAUCGGCCACACUGGGACUGAGACACGGCCCAGACUCCUACGGGAGGCAGCAGUAGGGAAUCUUCCGCAAUGGACGAAAGUCUGACGGAGCAACGCCGCGUGAGUGAUGAAGGUUUUCGGAUCGUAAAGCUCUGUUGUUAGGGAAGAACAAGUACCGUUCGAAUAGGGCGGUACCUUGACGGUACCUAACCAGAAAGCCACGGCUAACUACGUGCCAGCAGCCGCGGUAAUACGUAGGUGGCAAGCGUUGUCCGGAAUUAUUGGGCGUAAAGGGCUCGCAGGCGGUUUCUUAAGUCUGAUGUGAAAGCCCCCGGCUCAACCGGGGAGGGUCAUUGGAAACUGGGGAACUUGAGUGCAGAAGAGGAGAGUGGAAUUCCACGUGUAGCGGUGAAAUGCGUAGAGAUGUGGAGGAACACCAGUGGCGAAGGCGACUCUCUGGUCUGUAACUGACGCUGAGGAGCGAAAAGCGUGGGGAGCGAACAGGAUUAGAUACCCUGGUAGUCCACGCCGUUAACGAUGAGUGCUAAGUGUUAGGGGGUUUCCGCCCCUUUAGUGCUGCAGCUAACGCAUUAAGCACUCCGCCUGGGGAGUACGGUCGCAAGACUGAUAACUCAAGGAAUUGACGGGGGCCCGCACAAGCGG